AAACUUUCAACAAUGGAUCUCUUGGCUCCGGCAUCGAUGAAGAACGCAGCGAAAUGCGAUAAGUAAUGUGAAUUGCAGAAUUCAGUGAAUCAUCGAAUCUUUGAACGCACAUUGCGCUCCCUGGCAUUCCGGGGAGCACGCCUGUCCGAGCGCCGUUA
This 158-nucleotide ribosomal RNA is filed under the name Zeloasperisporium eucalyptorum. Its description in RNAcentral is "5.8S ribosomal RNA". It matches the Rfam family "5.8S ribosomal RNA". From Rfam's summary of the family: 5.8S ribosomal RNA (5.8S rRNA) is a component of the large subunit of the eukaryotic ribosome. Lineage: Eukaryota; Fungi; Ascomycota; Dothideomycetes. The record is from RNAcentral.